Hippocampus comes (tiger tail seahorse) is the source of this 720-nucleotide long non-coding RNA. RefSeq lists it as uncharacterized. The record is from RefSeq and is a predicted model, not a curated record. The transcript is spliced from 3 exons. Lineage: Eukaryota; Metazoa; Chordata; Actinopteri; Syngnathiformes; Syngnathidae.
UCUGGAAAGGCCGCUCGCGAUCAGAGCUGUUGCGCUAUAUUGUUUAUUGUUAUUAUUAUUCUCAUUCAGCGUUUGUUUCAUGUACAAUUCACCGAGCGCACGGGCAAAGAAUGGAAAUCUGGAGUGCAGGGAGAAGCAUUUUAAAACGCGACACGUGAGCUCCGAUUGAGCUACGCUGCAAAGUCCGUCCCAUGACUCCGCGUCAGGUCCCUACUAAGUGCUGCUGCGUCUUUAGUCCGACCCCGUAAGUUGAAGCCAAGCCUCUACAUUUGUAUGCGUGCGUCUCCAAAGCUUAAGGGGAAGCAAAAUGCAGAGAACAGGAGCUUUGGUUCCUUGGAUGCUUUGACUUAAGCGCCAGCUGUCUUAACGCUCACUGUACAAUCAACAUCCAAGCAUGUUACUAAGGUACACCUGACCAUUGCACCAACAGGAAGUUUAACUGAAGAACACUAUGGAACUAGAUAUACUGUAUAGCUCGAUUUGUUGAGGCCAAGAUAUUCCACACAACACAACCAUGCUUUCAAACAUACUUCAUGCACUGGGAACAAAAAAUGGCCCAAACCAUUCCCACGCAGCAACAAUGUUUUAUUAAGAUGAAGAAUUUUAUAUUAAGCCCCCGAUUGAUUAAUCAAGAAGUGUGUCCCAUGUACAUAUGCCAUCCUUCCAUUCAUUUGUAUAUUUUGUCCUCAUUAAGGUUUUCGGGUGAGCUGGUGCACACAC